RNAcentral lists this ribosomal RNA (500 nucleotides) under Bacillus amyloliquefaciens. RNAcentral describes it as "bacterial SSU rRNA". It matches the Rfam family "Bacterial small subunit ribosomal RNA", at positions 55 to 536 of the family's 1533-position model. The record is from RNAcentral. Lineage: Bacteria; Bacillati; Bacillota; Bacilli; Caryophanales; Bacillaceae.
UGGCAAGUUCGAGCGGACAGAUGGGAGCUUGCUCCCUGAUGUUAGCGGCGGACGGGUGAGUAACACGUGGGUAACCUGCCUGUAAGACUGGGAUAACUCCGGGAAACCGGGGCUAAUACCGGAUGGUUGUCUGAACCGCAUGGUUCAAACAUAAAAGGUGGCUUCGGCUACCACUUACAGAUGGACCCGCGGCGCAUUAGCUAGUUGGUGAGGUAACGGCUCACCAAGGCGACAAUGCGUACCCAACCUGAAAGGGUGAUCGGCCACACUGGGACUGAAACACGGCCCAAACUCCUACGGGAGGCAGCAGUAGGGAAUCUUCCGCAAUGGACGAAAGUCUGACGGACCAACGCCGCGUGAGUGAUGAAGGUUUUCGGAUCGUAAAGCUCUGUUGUUAGGGAAAAACAAGUGCCGUUCAAAUAGGGCGGCACCUUGACGGUACCUAACCAGAAAGCCACGGCUAACUACGUGCCACCAGCCGCGGUAAUACGUAGGUGGCA